Molecule: ribosomal RNA, 505 nt
Filed under: Actinotignum schaalii
Lineage: Bacteria; Bacillati; Actinomycetota; Actinomycetes; Actinomycetales; Actinomycetaceae
Description: bacterial SSU rRNA
Rfam family: Bacterial small subunit ribosomal RNA
Source: RNAcentral
UAGUUUGAUCCUGGCUCAGGACGAACGCGGGCGGCGUGCUUAACACAUGCAAGUCGAACGAUGAAGCCUGCAACUUGUUGUGGGUGGAUUAGUGGCGAACGGGUGAGUAAUACGUGGGUAACCUGCCCUCCUUUUUGGGAUAAGCCUUGGAAACGGGGUCUAAUACCGAAUAUUCUGGCGCUCUCGCAUGGGGGUGUUGGGAAAGCUUUUGUGUGAAGGGGGAUGGGCUCGCGGCCUAUCAGCUUGUUGGUGGGGUGAUGGCCUACCAAGGCGGUGACGGGUAGCCGGCCUGAGAGGGUGACCGGCCACAUUGGGACUGAGAUACGGCCCAGACUCCUACGGGAGGCAGCAGUGGGGGAUAUUGCACAAUGGGCGAAAGCCUGAUGCAGCGACGCCGCGUGGGGGAUGAAGGCUUUCGGGUUGUAAACCUCUUUCGCUAUCGAACAAGGCCCGGUUAGGGUGGGUUGAGGGUAGGUGGAGAAGAAGCGCCGGCUAACUACGUGCC